Anneissia japonica is the source of this 73-nucleotide non-coding RNA. NCBI's taxonomy places the organism in Eukaryota, Metazoa, Echinodermata, Crinoidea, Comatulida, Comatulidae. The record is from the annotation of a RefSeq genome assembly.
GGUUUCGUGGAGUAGUGGUUAGCACAUCUGCUUUACACGUAGAAGGUCUCCAGUUCGACCCCGGGCGAAACCU